This 72-nucleotide transfer RNA is filed under the name bovine gut metagenome. It matches the Rfam family "tRNA". Rfam says of the family: Transfer RNA (tRNA) molecules are approximately 80 nucleotides in length. Their secondary structure includes four short double-helical elements and three loops (D, anti-codon, and T loops). The record is from RNAcentral.
GCAGUUAGCUCAGUUUGGUUAGAGCAUCUGGUUUACACCCAGAAGGUCACAGGUUCGAGUCCCGUACUGCCC